This 291-nucleotide ribosomal RNA is filed under the name uncultured bacterium. RNAcentral describes it as "partial 16S ribosomal RNA". It matches the Rfam family "Bacterial small subunit ribosomal RNA", at positions 335 to 641 of the family's 1533-position model. The record is from RNAcentral.
GGCCUACGGGGCGCAGCAGUGGGGAAUAUUGGGCAAUGGGCGCAAGCCUGACCCAGCAACGCCGCGUGAAAGAGGAAGGCUUUCGGGUUGUAAACUUCUUUUCUCAGGGACGAAGAAAGUGACGGUACCGUAAGAAUAAGCCACGGCUAACUACGUGCCAGCAGCCGAGGUAAUACGUAGGUGGCAAGCGUUAUCCGGCUUUACUGGGUGUAAAGGGCGAGUAGGCGGGAUUGCAAGUCAGAUGUGAAAACUAUGGGCUCAACCGAUAGAGAGCAUUUGAAACUGCAGUUC